This 442-nucleotide ribosomal RNA is filed under the name uncultured bacterium. RNAcentral describes it as "partial 16S ribosomal RNA". It matches the Rfam family "Bacterial small subunit ribosomal RNA", at positions 338 to 795 of the family's 1533-position model. The record is from RNAcentral.
CCUACGGGGUGCAGCAGUGGGGAAUAUUGGGCAAUGGACGCAAGUCUGACCCAGCAACGCCGCGUGAAGGAAGAAGGCUUUCGGGUUGUAAACUUCUUUGACAGGGGAAGAGCAGAAGACGGUACCCUGAAAACAAGCCACGGCUAACUACGUGCCAGCAGCCGCGGUAAUACGUAGGUGGCAAGCGUUGUCCGGAUUUACUGGGUGUAAAGGGCGUGUAGCCGGGAAGGCAAGUCAGAUGUGAAAUCUGGAGGCUCAACCUCCAAAUUGCAUUUGAAACUGUUUUUCUUGAGUACUGGAGAGGCAGACGGAAUUCCUUGUGUAGCGGUGAAAUGCGUAGAUAUAAGGAGGAACACCAGUGGCGAAGGCGGUCUGCUGGACAGCAACUGACGGUGAGGCGCGAAAGCGUGGGGAGCAAACAGGAUUAGAUACCCCUGUAGUC